Long non-coding RNA from Salvia splendens (bonfire salvia), 586 nucleotides. RefSeq lists it as uncharacterized. The transcript is spliced from 2 exons. The record is from RefSeq and is a predicted model, not a curated record. Lineage: Eukaryota; Viridiplantae; Streptophyta; Magnoliopsida; Lamiales; Lamiaceae.
GAUGAAUUUAAGGUAGAAGAAGAUCACACUUACGAGACUCAAGUCGGUGGUCUCUGCUAAUGUGUGUGUGAGAUCGUGAGAGAAGAUAGUGCAAUGAAUGCCUGGGUCAAAAUGAAGUGUAGCUACUGGCACUGUUGAAGUGCACCAAAGGGAGGAUCGGGUAAUGCAAAUGAGGACCCAACACAACUCAACUAUGAGCAAAUGGUCGAGUCGAAGCCAUCCAAUGGACUAAAAUAAAAUAUUCUCCAUCCACACUGCUCCGAGCAGAAUCUUCUCCUGAAUCGCUGAAAGGGCUUACACAGCGCCGUCCUUUCAGGCCCUAACAAAAAUGAGCGAUAAUAAUUCAUACAACGAUUCGACGAGAUGCAAAUGGGAGAGGGAGCAAUUAUGUCGGAGACAGAUAAAGAAAGAAUUGAUAGAAUUUGAAAUUAGGGGGAUUUUGGCAGAUUAUAAUAUGGUUAGAAGAGAAUAGCAGCGCCAGCGCCAGCGCCAGCGCCAUUUUUAGGGUGAUGUUUGUAGCGAGUGCCUAAGUUAGGAUUACUGCAUCUUUAGAUUUUCUCAUAAAACAAACACGGUCUACUUAAUA